UCAGAUUUAGCAGCUGUGGAAAAAUAUGUUACUGUAUGCAGUAUCCUCUAACAAAUCCUGGUGUGUUCGAUUUUGUUUGUUGUUUUGCUUAAAUGUAUCUCUUAACUAGUAUCUGGUUUGAAUAUGCUGGAUGGGGUCAGCCAUUACCUAGUAGUUUUAGUUUUCACCAAAGUUUGUUGCUAAUGUUCUCAAUGCAUUCAGGAUCAAGACCUAAACUAUCUGAAUUGGAGAUAGAAAAACAUAAGAUGACACUUGUGCUUGAACAAUAUCGGGUGGAAACUAAAGAACCAACAUGUGACGAUUGAGCGGCUUGAGGAGCAAAACUGCCAACUGGAACAAUAGCGCCACCCUACAGCACUCAUUUCAAGAGCAUAGCUGGACAUAUUUAGCUUUUGGCCACUGCUGCAUUAUUCACUUGUGCGUUGAAUAAUGAGGAAAGAGAAUGGAGAGUUGGAGACGAAUGGUGUGGCCAAACAAAAUUUAUAACAAUAGGGCCUUGAGAUAUGUUACGACAAAGCUAAUCCGGUAUUUGCUUUGGUCCCGGAAGAUGUGAGAUUUCAUGAAGAACUAUUUGAGAAGGUGUCUUUGCUACAGCAGCUUGUACGUCCUGAAAACUUGGAUAUAAAACCAGAAUAUCAGAAUGAAGCGUCAUGGUUGCCAGUUGAAAUUGUCACACCCUGAUCACAUGCUAGUUUAAUCAACCGGACCAGCGGAAUAUAACUUUGACAUGGCUCUCCAAACUAAAGGGCACUUAUUGUUAGAUGGUGCAUCUCAUCUAUGCUCUUGCACUUGAUUCACAAUGCUCGGAGAUGAGAUUGGGAAGGGGCGUACGGGCGCGUCUACAAGGGGCUCGACCUGGAGAACGGCGACUUCGUGGCCAUCAAGCAGGUCUCGCUCGAGAACAUCCCGCAGGAGGGUCUCAACAUCAUCAUGGCAUGUUGACGAGGAUGAUCCAGUCCCAAUUGGCUCACCAGGAGAUACACAAUCGGUCGUGGCUUCUGACAUUGAACAGGUAAGCUCAGGGUUCUUUUCCUAAUAUGUUCAUUUCCUAAUACACAAAUAAGUGCAUCAGGAAGUGCACUUGAGAAGAAGUUGAAAGCAGUUGCAUCUACUGCUAAGAAGAGGAAGGGUGGAAGUCAGAA
Lolium rigidum is the source of this 1142-nucleotide long non-coding RNA. RefSeq lists it as uncharacterized. The record is from RefSeq and is a predicted model, not a curated record. Lineage: Eukaryota; Viridiplantae; Streptophyta; Magnoliopsida; Poales; Poaceae. The transcript has 6 exons.